This 1389-nucleotide ribosomal RNA is filed under the name Triticum aestivum (bread wheat). RNAcentral describes it as "partial small subunit ribosomal RNA". The record is from RNAcentral. Lineage: Eukaryota; Viridiplantae; Streptophyta; Magnoliopsida; Poales; Poaceae.
AUGUACAUGCCUGUUGCUUGCCUGAGCACCAAUGAUACUUAUGUUUACGUGUUAACUGGUGAUGAAUCUAAUUCAAUGGAGUAUCUCGAGCCUUCUUGUGGGUACUUGGCCAUGAUUCCUCGGCCUUGGGACAGUCCGGUGCUAGAAAAUGCAAGUUAUGCAGAUGUUGUGAAAUCCAUGAGGAGUGGAUUUGCUGUUAUGUUUCCUCUCAGAUAUUCUACGGUGGGCGUCAUGGAAUGCCUAAGGCGCGAGAUUCGCAAGUUUCAUGAAUGGCCAGUGUCUGGAAGGAUCAUCAAGGAUUGGAUUGUGGGAAUUCUUCUGCUUGAGGGAGAUUUCGCAGACUGCGUAUUUGAUGUGACUGGAUUUCCUUAUUAUGUUGAAUACGAGCGGGGCGCCAUACUAAUUACUAUGUGGAUUGUGACAUUGACUGCAGAUCUAUGCAGGUUCUUGUUGGCACCCCUGGCUGUGUUGAUCUUUCUGGCCCACAAGUAUUGGAAAACAAGGAUCAGAAUUAAUGCAGUCGGGAAGUUCCUCCAAAUGCAACAAAUGCUUGGCCCGACAAGGUACGCCUAUACUGACAUCACCGCAGUCACGAGCCAUUUCAGAGAUAAGCUGGGUCAGGGAGGCUACGGAUCCGUGUUUAAGGGUGUGCUAUCGCCAGGCAAUGUUCAUGUCGCGGUAAAGAUGCUAGACGGUAACUCCAACUGUAAUGGAGAAGAUUUUAUCAGUGAAGUUUCAACCAUUGGCAGGAUUCACCAUGUUAAUGUGGUGCGUUUAGUGGGGUUCUGCCCGGAGGAAAUGAGACAAGCGCUCGUCUACGAGUACAUGCCUCAAGGUUCUCUCGACAAGUACAUCUUCUCGGCCGAGAAGAAUUUCUCUUGGGACAAGCUAAAUGAGAUUGCUUUGGGCAUUGCCAGAGGGAUUGAUUACUUGCAUCAGGGUUGUGACAUGCAGAUUCUCCACUUUGACAUCAAGCCGCACAACAUCCUUCUUGACAACAAUUUCAUCCCAAAAGUUGCCGACUUCGGUCUCGCAAAACUAUACCCAAGGGACAUCAGUUUUGUGCCGUCGAGAGCACUACGGGGAACUAUAGGGUACAUAGCUCCUGAGAUGAUAUCUAGGAGCUUUGGCGUCAUAUCGAGCAAGUCCGAUGUUUACAGCUUUGGGAUGAUGCUGCUGGAGAUGGCUGGAGGAAGAAGGAACGCCGAUCCGAAUACAGGAAAUUCUAGCCAAGCAUACUACCCGGCAUGGGUGUAUGACCGACUAACCCAACAAGACCAUGUGGGUGAGAUAUAUGCUCAUGUUGAUGCUCAGAUGCAUGAGUUGGAGAGGAAGUUGUGCAUCGUCGGACUAUGGUGCAUCCAGAUUCUCAUGACAGGCCGACGAUGA